This 468-nucleotide ribosomal RNA is filed under the name uncultured bacterium. Its description in RNAcentral is "partial 16S ribosomal RNA". It matches the Rfam family "Bacterial small subunit ribosomal RNA", at positions 28 to 507 of the family's 1533-position model. The record is from RNAcentral.
GACGAACGCUGGCGGCGUGCUUAACACAUGCAAGUCGAACGGAAAGGCCCUGCUUUUGUGGGGUGCUCGAGUGGCGAACGGGUGAGUAACACGUGAGUAACCUGCCCUUGACUUUGGGAUAACUUCAGGAAACUGGGGCUAAUACCGGAUAGGAGCUCCUGCUGCAUGGUGGGGGUUGGAAAGCUUCGGCGGUUGGGGAUGGACUCGCGGCUUACCGGCUUGUUGGUGGGGUAGUGGCUUACCAAGGCUUUGACGGGUAGCCGGCCUGAGAGGGUGACCGGCCACAUUGGGACUGAGAUACGGCCCAGACUCCUACGGGAGGCAGCAGUGGGGAAUAUUGCACAAUGGGCGGGAGCCUGAUGCGGCAACGCCGCGUGCGGGAUGACGGCCUUCUGGUUGUGAACCGCUUUCGCCUGUGACGAAGCGUGAGUGACGGUAAUGGGUAAAGAAGCACCGGCUAACUACGUG